This 547-nucleotide ribosomal RNA is filed under the name Ablerus clisiocampae. RNAcentral describes it as "partial large subunit ribosomal RNA". Lineage: Eukaryota; Metazoa; Arthropoda; Insecta; Hymenoptera; Aphelinidae. The record is from RNAcentral.
GAGGGAAAGUUGAAAAGAACUUUGAAGAGAGAGUUCAAGAGUACGUGAACCCGUUCAGGGGUAAACCUGAGAAACCCAAAAGAUCGAAUGGGGAGAUUCAUCGUUCAGCGGCGCUGGCUUCCGUGCGGCUCGCGAUGGCCGUGGCCUCGGUCACGCGUCACGCGGUCGCUGCGGCAUGCCCGGCGUCGUCGGCGUGCACUUCUCCCCUAGUAGGACGUCGCGACCCGUUGGGUGCCGGCCAACGGCCCGGUUGGUCGACUGUCGCGCAGGCGUUUACGCGUCGGCGCGGCAGACCACCGGUCGCCCGGACGGCUGCUCGGCGGUAUGAAUUAUUCAUAAUCACGGUAAUGGGCCGCACUUGCGUGCGUUCAGGCUCGUCGGCAGGCUCGUCUCGCUCGGAUUUACGGACCUGGUGCCGUUGCCGAGCGCUUGGCGCGGCCGUUUCAGCCGGCGAUGUCCUCGGACGGGCUCGAAUUGCUCUCGGGCAAUUAUUAGAAAAUACCGGUCGGCGACGCUACUGCUUUGGGUACUUUCAGGACCCGUCUUG